Molecule: ribosomal RNA, 253 nt
Filed under: uncultured bacterium
Lineage: Bacteria
Description: partial 16S ribosomal RNA
Rfam family: Bacterial small subunit ribosomal RNA
Source: RNAcentral
GACGAGGGGUCCAAGCGUUGUUCGGAAUCAUUGGGCGUAAAGCGGGUGUAGGCGGCUCUGCAAGUCAGAUGUGAAAGCCCAGGGCUUAACCCUGGAAGUGCAUUUGAUACUGUAAGGCUUGAGUAUGGAAGAGGGUCGUGGAAUUCCUGGUGUAGUGGUGAAAUACGUAGAUAUCAGGAGGAACACCGGUGGCGAAGGCGGUUCUCUGGGCAUUACCUGACGCUGAGGAGCGAAAGUGUGGGGAGCGAACAGG